UCUUAGGUGCAGGGAGAUACCAUGAUAAAAGGGCAGACAAUGUUGCUGCCCUCAAGGAGCUGACAUUCUAGUGGAGGAAGACAGAUGCAAAAAGGAAUGUAUGCCCACAUCACACAACUAAAUUGUGGCAUGAUGGAGUUCAACAAAAUAUGGAUACAGAGAGCAAGGUUUGAGGGUAAAUUUAACCAAGGUAGGGUAAUCAGAGGAGCCUGAUCUGAAAAGGCAGGAAUUAAAAUAAGCUCUAAAGGAUUAUUAGAAACUAGGGAGAGAGGAGCUGACUGGUAGAAAUGGGGAGUGUUUCAGGGAGAGCAAAAAGCCCAUUCAAAAACCUCAUGCAAAGAAGAGUUGGGCAAUUUGAAGAAUUGAAAUGAAACUCUAGGACUGGGCACGGAGAAUGUGAAGAAGUGAGGAGGGGUUGGAGCUGGAGAGAUAGGUGGGACUGGAUCCCAUACAACUUGAAAAGAACAGAGAAAGAUCCAGUGCAAAAACUCAUAGGAAAUGAUCAAUUCAUGCCAAGUGAUGAGAACUAGAGAAGAGAGAUGAGAGCAUUGUUCAUACACGAUGGUCUAGGUCUCCUACCCCAAGAGAACUUGCAACAAAGCCCAAAGUACAACAGCCACGUUUAAAGAGAAGAUUCCAUUUCAGCCAGACAACAUGAUUCAUCAUAUUUAUUUAAUAUUGUUAAUUUGAAUUUUAUUAGAUCUGUACUGAUGUUUGUAUUUAAUUUCUAAUUUGUUUUGGUUUCAUAAUUCACUAAAACAAUAAGCACAAAGAGUUUCUAUCUGACUUUAUAUAUUAACAUUUUAAUAAAAGUCUUUUAUAUACUCA
Molecule: long non-coding RNA, 828 nt
Filed under: Homo sapiens (human)
Lineage: Eukaryota; Metazoa; Chordata; Mammalia; Primates; Hominidae
Description: long independently transcribed non-coding RNA 3064, transcript variant 13 (LINC03064)
Source: RNAcentral